AUUGAACGCUGGCGGCAGGCCUAACACAUGCAAGUCGAACGAGUGGCGGAUGGGUGAGUAAUGUCUGGGAAACUGCCAGCUGGGGGGGGAUAAAUACUGGACACGGUAUCUAAUCACACAUACCCACAUAUGUGCACAGAUGGGAUUAGCUUUUUGGGGGGGUAACGGCUCACCAAGGCGAAGAGCCCUAGCUGGUGUGAGGUGAUGACAAGCCACACUGGAACUAGGACACAGUCCAGACUCCUACGGGAGGCAGGAGUGGGGAAUAUUUCACAAUGGGCGCAAGACAGAUGCAGCCAUGCCGCGUGUAUGAAGAAGGCCUUCGGGUUGUAAAGUACUUUCAGCGGGAAGGCGUUACCCGCAGAAGAAGCACCGGCUAACGCCGUGCCAGCAGCCGCGGUAAUUC
This 406-nucleotide ribosomal RNA is filed under the name uncultured bacterium. Its description in RNAcentral is "partial 16S ribosomal RNA". It matches the Rfam family "Bacterial small subunit ribosomal RNA", at positions 30 to 526 of the family's 1533-position model. The record is from RNAcentral.